This 301-nucleotide ribosomal RNA is filed under the name uncultured bacterium. Its description in RNAcentral is "partial 16S ribosomal RNA". It matches the Rfam family "Bacterial small subunit ribosomal RNA", at positions 509 to 807 of the family's 1533-position model. The record is from RNAcentral.
CAGCAGCCACGGUAAUACGUAGGGUGCAAGCGUUAAUCGGAAUUACUGGGCGUAAAGCGUGCGCAGGCGGUUUUGUAAGACAGAGGUGAAAUCCCCGGGCUCAACCUGGGAACUGCCUUUGUGACUGCAAGGCUAGAGUACGGCAGAGGGGGAUGGAAUUCCGCGUGUAGCAGUGAAAUGCGUAGAUAUGCGGAGGAACACCGAUGGCGAAGGCAAUCCCCUGGGCCUGUACUGACGCUCAUGCACGAAAGCGUGGGGAGCAAACAGGAUUAGAGACCCGCGUAGUCCCUGUCUCUUAUAC